RNAcentral lists this long non-coding RNA (442 nucleotides) under Elaeis guineensis (African oil palm). RNAcentral describes it as "long non-coding RNA (EGUI_LNC013711)". Lineage: Eukaryota; Viridiplantae; Streptophyta; Magnoliopsida; Arecales; Arecaceae. The record is from RNAcentral.
AUGUAACAGAAAAGACUAUAUACACAAACUGAGCCUAUGCUCUCCACCAGGGGUUGGAAUAUAGGCAUUCAUUUAGAUGUCCACCAUCCCCAAUAAUCUUUAGGUGAGAAUUGAAUAUCUAACAGAUUCUAAAGCAUUUCAUCAAACAGCGGCACGGCAUCAAGCAGAAAAAAAAAUUAUCCAGCCACAUGAAAGCUGUGCUCUAGCCAUAGGCCCAUUAGACCGGAACAGUGGUCAUUUUGGGGGGUGGGGGGGUGCAGAAGAAGACAUGCUCCAGCAGACAAGACCGAUCCGAUAAUAAUCCUAUGAAUCCUUGACAUCAUGGCCAUCACCGCACACCAUCAACAAACACCAAUGGAAAGAUGACACAUCCUUCACAACCACCAAUGAGCACCAAUGUUCGCUUGCCAUGAUCUAGUACCUCUUCUUCAAUACUUUUCGG